Molecule: long non-coding RNA, 103 nt
Organism: Sapajus apella (tufted capuchin)
Lineage: Eukaryota; Metazoa; Chordata; Mammalia; Primates; Cebidae
Exons: 3
Source: RefSeq, a predicted model, not a curated record
AAGCUUUUCUUUUAUGUACCUUAUAAUCAAACAGGAGAUUAUAUAAGAAAUAAAAUCGAGAGUAUUACAAACAUGAAUAUUCCCUUGAAAUGUAAGAUAUACU